RNAcentral lists this transfer RNA (64 nucleotides) under Metidiocerus sp. ZB-2019. RNAcentral's name for it is "tRNA-Thr". The record is from RNAcentral. Lineage: Eukaryota; Metazoa; Arthropoda; Insecta; Hemiptera; Cicadellidae.
GUUUUAAUAAUUUAAUAAAAAUAUUAACUUUGUAAGUUAAACUUAGACUAUAAUCUUUAAAACA